This 423-nucleotide ribosomal RNA is filed under the name uncultured archaeon. RNAcentral's name for it is "partial 16S ribosomal RNA". It matches the Rfam family "Archaeal small subunit ribosomal RNA", at positions 323 to 746 of the family's 1478-position model. The record is from RNAcentral.
CUACGGGUUGCAGCAGGCGCGAAACCUCCGCAAUGUGAGAAAUCGCGACGGGGGGAUCCCAAGUGCCAUUCUUAACGGGAUGGCUUUUCUUAAGUGUAAAAAGCUUUUGGAAUAAGAGCUGGGCAAGACCGGUGCCAACCGCCGCGGUAACACCGGCAGCUCUAGUGGUAGCUGUUUUUAUUGGGCCUAAAGCGUUCGUAGCCGGUUUGAUAAGUCUCUGGUGAAAUCCUGUAGCUUAACUGUGGGAAUUGCUGGUGAUACUGUUGAACUUGAGGUCGGGAGAGGUUAGCGGUACUCCCAGGGUAGAGGUGAAAUUCUGUAAUCCUGGGAGGACCACCUGUGGCGAAGGCGGCUAACUGGAACGAACCUGACGGUGAGGGACGAAAGCUAGGGGCGCGAACCGGAUUAGAUACCCCAGUAGUC